This 1395-nucleotide ribosomal RNA is filed under the name wastewater metagenome. Its description in RNAcentral is "bacterial SSU rRNA". It matches the Rfam family "Bacterial small subunit ribosomal RNA". The record is from RNAcentral.
AGAGUUUGAUCCUGGCUCAGGAUGAACGCUGGCGGCGUGCUUAACACAUGCAAGUCGAACGCAGUGCUUUAGCUUCGGUUGAGGCAGCUGCGUGGCGGACGGGUGCGUAACACGUAGGAACUUGCCCCAGAGAGGGGGAUAACCGUUGGAAACGACGGAUAAUCCCGCAUACGCUCCUUCGGGAGAAAAGCUCCGGCGCUCUGGGAUGGGCCUGCGGCCUAUCAGGUAGUUGGUGGGGUAAUGGCCUACCAAGCCUACGACGGGUAGGGGGCGUGAGAGCGUGGCCCCCCACACGGGAACUGAGACACGGUCCCGACGCCUACGGGCGGCAGCAGUGAGGAAUCUUGCACAAUGGGCGAAAGCCUGAUGCAGCGACGCCGCGUGCGGGAAGAAGGCCUUCGGGUUGUAAACCGCUUUUCUGGGGGACGAGCAAGGACGGUACCUCAGGAAUAAGUCCCGGCUAACUACGUGCCAGCAGCCGCGGUAAUACGUAGGGGGCAAGCGUUAUCCGGAAUCACUGGGCGUAAAGGGCGUCUAGGCGGCAAGGCAAGUCUCGCGUAAAAGCUCCCGGCUCAACUGGGAGAGCGCGCGGGAAACUGCCUGGCUAGAGACUCGGAGAGGGGUGUGGAAUUCCCGGUGGAGUGGUGAAAUGCGUUGAGAUCGGGAGGAACACCAGUAGCGAAGGCGGCACCCUGGCCGAGUUCUGACGCUGAAGCGCGACAGCGUGGGGAGCAAACGGGAUUAGAUACCCCGGUAGUCCACGCCGUAAACGAUGACAACUAGGUGUCGGGNNAACUCAAAGGAAUUGACGGGGGCCCGCACAAGCAGCGGAGCGUGUGGUUUAAUUCGAUGCAACGCGAAGAACCUUACCUGGCCUUGACAUGCAGGUGGUAGGGAACCGAAAGGGGACCGACCCUCGGGAGCCUGCACAGGUGCUGCAUGGCUGUCGUCAGCUCGUGCCGUGAGGUGUUGGGUUAAGUCCCGCAACGAGCGCAACCCUUGGCGUAUGUUUCACGUGUCAUGCGCAACUGCCGGCGUAAGCCGGAGGAAGGUGGGGAUGACGUCAAGUCAGCAUGGUCCUUAUGGCCAGGGCUACACACACGCUACAAUGGCCGGUACAAUGGGUCGCCACACCGCGAGGUGGAGCCAAUCCCCAAAGCCGGUCUCAGUUCGGAUUGGAGUCUGCAACCCGACUCCAUGAAGGCGGAGUUGCUAGUAACCGCAGGUCAGCCAUACUGCGGUGAAUACGUUCCCGGGCCUUGUACACACCGCCCGUCACGUCAUGGGAGUCGGCCACACUUGAAGUCGGUUAUGGGAAGCAUCCCGGCUGCCUAGAGUGGGGCUGGCGACUGGGACGAAGUCGUAACAAGGUAGCUGUACCGGAAGGUGCGGCUG